CCAAUAGCGUAUAUUAAAGUUGUUGCAGUUAAAAAGCUCGUAGUUGAAUUUCGGGGUCAGUAGGUCGGUCGUGCCACAGGUAUGCACUGGUCUCACUGAUUCCUCCUUCCUGAUGAACCGUAAUGCCAUUAAUUUGGUGUUGCGGGGAGACUGGACUGUUACUUUGGAAAAAUUAGAGUGUUUAAAGCAGGCUAACGCUUGAAUACAUUAGCAUGGAAUAACGGAAUAGGACGUUCGAUCUUAUUUUGUUGGUUUCUAAGAUUGACGUAAUGAUUAAUAGGGAUAGUUGGGGGCAUUAGUAUUCAAUUGUCAGAGGUGAAAUUCUUGGAUUUAUUGAAGACUAACUACUGCGAAAGCAUUUGCCAAGGAUGUUUUCAUUAAUCAAGAACGAAAGUUAGGGGAUCGAAGACGAUCAGAUACCGUCGUAGUCUUAACCAUAAACUAUGCCGACUAGGGAUCGGAUGAUGUUAAUUUUUUAAUGACUCAUUCGGCGCCUUACG
RNAcentral lists this ribosomal RNA (500 nucleotides) under uncultured Glomeromycotina. Its description in RNAcentral is "partial small subunit ribosomal RNA". It matches the Rfam family "Eukaryotic small subunit ribosomal RNA", at positions 591 to 1092 of the family's 1831-position model. The record is from RNAcentral. Lineage: Eukaryota; Fungi; Glomeromycota.